RNAcentral lists this ribosomal RNA (502 nucleotides) under uncultured bacterium. Its description in RNAcentral is "partial 16S ribosomal RNA". It matches the Rfam family "Bacterial small subunit ribosomal RNA", at positions 29 to 523 of the family's 1533-position model. The record is from RNAcentral.
AUUGAACGCUGGCGGCGUGCUUAACUCAUGCAAGUCGAUCGGUAACAGGUGUAGCAAUACAUGCUGACGAGAGGCGGACGGGUGAGGAAUAUUUGGGAAUCUGCCCAUCAGCGGGGGACAACCCGGGGAAACCCGGGCUAAUACCGCAUACGCUCUACGGAGGAAAGCCGGGGACCGCAAGGCCUGGCACUGAUGGAUGAGCCCAAAUCGGAUUAGCUAGUUGGCGGGGUAACGGCCAACCAAGGCGACGAUCCGUAGCUGGUCUGAGAGGACGAUCAGCCACACCGGAACUGAGACACGGUCCGGACUCCUACGGGAGGCAGCAGUGGGGAAUAUUGGACAAUGGGGGAAACCCUGAUCCAGCGACGCCGCGUGGGUGAAGAAGGCCUGCGGGUUGUAAAGCCCUUUCGGUAGGGACGAAAGCUCUUGCUCUAAUAACGCAAGAGGUUGACUUAACCUACAUAAGAAGCACCGGCUAACUCUGUGCCAGCAGCCGCCGCAG